Molecule: ribosomal RNA, 446 nt
Filed under: uncultured bacterium
Lineage: Bacteria
Description: partial 16S ribosomal RNA
Rfam family: Bacterial small subunit ribosomal RNA
Source: RNAcentral
GCCCAGACUCCUACGGGAGGCAGCAGUGGGGGAUAUUGCACAAUGGGGGGAACCCUGAUGCAGCGACGCCGCGUGGGUGAAGAAGCGCCUCGGCGCGUAAAGCCCUUUCAGCAGGGAAGAAAAUGACGGUACCUGAAGAAGAAGCCCCGGCUAACUACGUGCCAGCAGCCGCGGUAAUACGUAGGGGGCAAGCGUUAUCCGGAUUUACUGGGUGUAAAGGGGGCGCAGACGGCAGCGCAAGCCAGGAGUGAAAGCCCGGGGCCCAACCCCGGGACUGCUCUUGGAACUGCGCGGCUGGAGUGCAGGAGGGGCAGGCGGAAUUCCUGGUGUAGCGGUGAAAUGCGUAGAUAUCAGGAGGAACACCAGUGGCGAAGGCGGCUUACUGGACUGUAACUGACAUUGAGGCUCGAAAGCGUGGGGAGCAAACAGGAUUAGAUACCCCAGUA